This 505-nucleotide ribosomal RNA is filed under the name uncultured Staphylococcus sp. RNAcentral describes it as "bacterial SSU rRNA". It matches the Rfam family "Bacterial small subunit ribosomal RNA", at positions 20 to 507 of the family's 1533-position model. Lineage: Bacteria; Bacillati; Bacillota; Bacilli; Caryophanales; Staphylococcaceae. The record is from RNAcentral.
UGGCUCAGGAUGAACGCUGGCGGCGUGCCUAAUACAUGCAAGUCGAGCGAACAGACGAGGAGCUUGCUCCUCUGACGUUAGCGGCGGACGGGUGAGUAACACGUGGAUAACCUACCUAUAAGACUGGGAUAACUUCGGGAAACCGGAGCUAAUACCGGAUAAUAUAUUGAACCGCAUGGUUCAAUAGUGAAAGACGGUUUUGCUGUCACUUAUAGAUGGAUCCGCGCCGCAUUAGCUAGUUGGUAAGGUAACGGCUUACCAAGGCAACGAUGCGUAGCCGACCUGAGAGGGUGAUCGGCCACACUGGAACUGAGACACGGUCCAGACUCCUACGGGAGGCAGCAGUAGGGAAUCUUCCGCAAUGGGCGAAAGCCUGACGGAGCAACGCCGCGUGAGUGAUGAAGGUCUUCGGAUCGUAAAACUCUGUUAUUAGGGAAGAACAAAUGUGUAAGUAACUAUGCACGUCUUGACGGUACCUAAUCAGAAAGCCACGGCUAACUACGUG